UUCCACAAAACCGCCAUUGUCAUCGUGGCCA
This 31-nucleotide non-coding RNA is filed under the name Homo sapiens (human). The record is from RNAcentral. Lineage: Eukaryota; Metazoa; Chordata; Mammalia; Primates; Hominidae.